RNAcentral lists this ribosomal RNA (253 nucleotides) under uncultured bacterium. RNAcentral's name for it is "partial 16S ribosomal RNA". It matches the Rfam family "Bacterial small subunit ribosomal RNA", at positions 524 to 776 of the family's 1533-position model. The record is from RNAcentral.
UACAGAGGUCCCGAGCGUUGUUCGGAUUCACUGGGCGUAAAGGGUGCGUAGGUGGUGAGGUAAGUCGGAUGUGAAAUCUCCGGGCUCAACCCGGAAAUGGCAUUGGAAACUACCUUGCUUGAGGAUUUGAGGGGGGAUUGGAAUACUUGGUGUAGCAGUGAAAUGCGUAGAUAUCGGGAGGAACACCAGUGGCGAAGGCGGUUGCCUAGAGCUUUGCUGACGCUGAUGCGCGAAAGCGUGGGGAGCGAUCCGG